GGGAGACGGGCCGUGCUCCUUGCAUACCCCUCCAAUGACGCUAACAGAACAAACAGCGAAAAGGUGAAUCAGAGGCCACCGGUCGUGGAUUCAGCCCCCACGGUGUCGUUCUGCUAAGGAAGCCUCUGGCUUGCCUUCCGGGUGGUGUUCAGGAACCAUUUUGAUGAAUUCCAAUUAAGAGUCUUCCUGACACCAGGAGAUGCAGAGGUCAAAGAAUGCCCUGUGCAGCACAGCAACAGACCACAUGGAGCACAGAUAAAGUUGAAGCUGUGGGAAGUCUGUUGCUCCUAAAGAUCCUAACAGAGGUGUUCCAAGAUACAACACCAGUGCCUGAUCUUGGGAGAGAAGCAGGACACCUCAAUAUGUUGCUAGAAAUGGC
Long non-coding RNA from Aquila chrysaetos chrysaetos, 379 nucleotides. RefSeq lists it as uncharacterized. The record is from RefSeq and is a predicted model, not a curated record. The transcript is spliced from 3 exons. Lineage: Eukaryota; Metazoa; Chordata; Aves; Accipitriformes; Accipitridae.